UACGAAGGGGGCUAGCGUUGCUCGGAAUCACUGGGCGUAAAGGGCGCGUAGGCGGGUCUUUAAGUCAGGGGUGAAAUCCUGGAGCUCAACUCCAGAACUGCCUUUGAUACUGGAGAUCUUGAGUUCGGGAGAGGUGAGUGGAACUGCGAGUGUAGAGGUGAAAUUCGUAGAUAUUCGCAAGAACACCAGUGGCGAAGGCGGCUCACUGGCCCGAUACUGACGCUGAGGCACGAAAGCGUGGGGAGCAAACAGG
This 253-nucleotide ribosomal RNA is filed under the name uncultured bacterium. RNAcentral describes it as "partial 16S ribosomal RNA". It matches the Rfam family "Bacterial small subunit ribosomal RNA", at positions 524 to 776 of the family's 1533-position model. The record is from RNAcentral.